RNAcentral lists this long non-coding RNA (4426 nucleotides) under Marmota monax (woodchuck). The record is from RNAcentral. Lineage: Eukaryota; Metazoa; Chordata; Mammalia; Rodentia; Sciuridae.
CCUGGCCCGCCCCCGCCGGCCGAGCUCCCCGCCCCCGGGACUCGCCGGUUCCCUGGCUUCUGGGACCCUGUGCCCAGGUGACCCGCCACCACCAUUGCCACUGAAUCUCCGACACCCUUGCCGGGGACCCCCUCCAGGAAAGCCGGGCAGCGUGAGUGCGUCGGAGAGGUGCGAGGAAAGAAGCUGUCAAGAGCCAGGACCCAAGCAGCUGUAGCCCCAGCCAGGAAGCAUCUCUAACGAAACUCGGGAGCACUGUCCAGGCCUGCCUCAGGGUGACAGGAAUGGGCCCAGGCGAGGGGCGCGGAGGAUGGUAACAGGGCCGUCCCUUCAUGGGCCCGAGAGAAACUUCCCUUGGUCGGCGCGCUCCCUGGAAUAACGGUGGUACUGGCUAUUUGCCUCAGGCGCCUCCCGAGCUCAGAGCUAGAUUGUGCCAGCAGUUCCUAGCGCUGCCCCAAAGUAAAAGAGCGGCAGUCCUUAGGUGGUGCAAAGGACUAGACUUCAGGUGUUCCGGGCUUUAGGCCGUUGCAGCUAGUUUCAUUUGGGGACCCCCGGACUCAAGACUCUUCCCUAGGAUGCUGGCAGAAGCUGCUCUGGACAGGACUCAAGAGAAGGUGGAGGUCCUGAGGCUCCAGGAGGAGGCUUUGCAAUCCAAGAAAGCUGACCCAUGUCCUCUGUCCCUGAGCCCUGGCGGUGGCAGCUAUGCCCAGCCUUGCUCCUGCUUUUUGCACGUGUUUUCUAUUGGAGCGGUGGCGUGGCCCUCGUGGCCGCGGCCCAGUGCGCCUCUACUCGCCUCGGGGGCAAAGGGGAAUUUUCUUGAUUGACGCCCUCCUGCGGUGGUCACACCUCGCGGCGAGCUGUUUCUGCUAAGGUUCUCUAUUAGUCGUGUAUAUAGAAAGACUUCUCGAGCUUUUUCUGUGUGUCUUUUUCUGUGUAGGGGUUAAUUUACAUCCUUGAAAUAUUAUUUCUUCAACUGCAGUGGGUCCGAAGUAGGAAGAGUUGACUGGGAGCCGGACAUCCUGGAUUCGAGUUUCACUUCUUACAUUUUGAGCAAUUGUUGUGUGCCAGCAGUGAACAAGACAGAUCUAAUCCCUGAAUUCACGGAGACAGGAAACAUUUAACUCUAAUAUAUAUAUGUGCAGGAAUCUUAUAACAAGGGACAUCACCUAGUUGUGGGGGCAGGGAGGAGGGAAGAGCAUUAAGGAAAGCAAAGGCUUCCCCACAGAAGCUAUGUUUGAAAGAUGAGUAGAUGACAACAAGCUAAAGUCAGAGGACCAACAUCCAAGUCCAGAGAAUAGCAUGUGAGUGUUAGCUCAUGCAGCUUUGGUAAAUUUACCACCCUGGACUUUUCUCAUCUGAAACAUUUGACCUAAAGGGUCCUCCUAAUCGUUCUGGGAUAGGUCAUAGGCAUCUUUCAGAAUCUAAUGACAAUGAAGAGCUACAAGUACAGACAAACCCAGUAAAUGUAUAUGUUAUAAUUUUCAAAAUACUGGGGACCAGUAAGAAUAUAUCUGUGUAUUUGCUUUAUUACAUAAACUAUAUAUGGAAGAAUAACAGAAAAUUAAUACCUUUGGCUGUCCAUGAAGAGAGGGAUGAGAUCGGAGGGAGAAUAUACCUCUUGAAUAUUUGGAGAAUUGAGCCAUCGGCAUCUGUGAUCCAUUCAUGGAGUAAGUCCUUGAAGUAACUAAUUCUAGGUCUAGGAAGAUACAAGAAGUGUUCAUGGAUACCCUUUGUCAGAAACCAUGGAAAGAAAACAGGCUGCCUUGAAGGGACUCCCACUGGCUGAACUUGGGAAGAUUUAAGCUUCAAAAAUACAUUAUAGAUUAUUACACUUUAAUUAUAACAAUUCAUGAAUCCAUAGUGAUGCAUUUUUAAGUAUAUUUUUUAGUUGUUGAUAGACUUUUAUUUUAUUUAUUUAUAUGCGGUGCUGAGAAUCGACCCCAGUGCCUCACACAUGCCAGGCAAGUGCGCUACCACUACUGAGCUUCAGUCCCAGCCCCUAUAGUGAGAAAAAGGGAUGGUGGAUGGGAAAACUGCAAGAAUUCCUUCUAACAAAUGUAGAAAAUUUGCUAAAAUUGGAAAAUAUAAUAAUUCAUUUAAGAAAAAAAUCAUUGAACACCUCAACUCAUGGGUAAAAUGUUAAAGAUGAGGAUUUCCGCAAGGUCUCAUAGUAUCACCCCAAUUCAUUGGAUUCUGGGUUUUUUUAAAACCCAUGGGAAAUUUAAUAUGAAUUAUAUGUUAGACAACAGUAUUAAUAUCCUAUGUGUGAGUUAUAUGAGAAAAUGUUCUUAUUUUUGGAAGAUGCAAACUAAAGUUUUUAGUGGUGAUGGGUCAUAAUAUCUGCAACUUACUUUCAAAUAUUUUAACAUACAACACAUGUGCACACAUUGUAUAUACGCCUAUGUAUACCAUCUGUGUAAGUAUGCAUAGAUAUAUACAUGAAGAGGGAGGUAAACCAAAUAUAGAAAGUUAUUAUUUGGUGGCUUGAGGUGAAGAAUAUAUGGAUUUUUAAGUUAAUUAUUUAUUUUAAUUGGUAUAUAUGACAGCAGAAUGCAUUUUGAUUCAGUGUACACAAUUGCAGCAUGACUUUUCAUUUCUCUGGUUGUAUACGAUGUAGCAUCGCAUUCUAUGAGAGAAUAUGGAUGUUUGUUGUAGUAUAGUUUCAGCUUCCCUGUUUUCAAUAUAAAAACUGGGAAAAAAUAAGCAUGAUUUUGUCUUUUAAAAUGAAUGUACCACCUCAUUCUGUAAAGGUAAAAAUUUUUGAAUUAUUUGUUAAGUCUGUGUAUAAUUUCAGGUAGUGCCUUGCCCCUGGAAAACAUCAGUGAGGGGACUGGAUUGGAGAAUCUUCAAUCUCUGUGGGUAACUCUGAUGUUUGUUAGUUCCACCAGCAUCAUUAUCAUGUGGCCUGAUGGAGAAUUAGGUAUUUUCUUCGGUAUUCCAGGGACAGGCACAGGCUCUGAGGACUAAGAAAGGACAGUAUCAUCUAAUGUUCAAAUGUGACUUCUAAAGUUAUAUUUGAGUUUUCAAAGAGUGAGACCUCAGCGAACUAAGCAGAUAAUUAAUUGUUUUUCUCACAGAAGGUUUCCCCUCCUAUGUUUUUCUCCUUUUCCCUGUCCCUUCUAUCUAGCAAGUAACUGGGAUGAUUCCUCUAAUGCAUUUAAUGCCUUUACAGAAAUUACUAUUGAACUUUCAUUUUCCAUCUUCAAAAAUAGUAUGUGUUGGGCCAGGGACCGUGGCACACUCCUGUAAUCUCAGCGGCUAAGGAGUCUGAGGCAGGAGGAUCUCGUGUUCAAAGCCAGCCUCAGCAAAAGUGAGGUACUAAGCAACUCAGUGAGACCCUGUCUCUAAAUAAAAUGCAAAAUAGGGCUGGGGAUGUGGCUCAGUGUUCGAGUACCCCUGAAUUCAAUCUCUGGGACUCCACCCCCCUACAAAAAUUGGUAUGGGUUGGGCUGUGGAUAUAGCUCAGUGGCAGAGUGGUUGCCUAGCAUGCAUGAGGCCCUGGGUUCAAUCCCUAUACCGCCAAAAAAAAAAAAAAGAGUAUGCAUUUAUAGUACUUGUUUAUUCUGUGCUUGAUGCAGCCACCAUCCAAAAAGGUCUAAAUCUCUAAACUUUCAAAAAUGAAUAUUAGACAUGCUAAGAAAAUAAUCAAUAAUAUAGAACUAGUAAAUAGUCACUAAUAAAGGAAGACCAUUACUUUCUUUGAUGUAGCCAUAGGCCCUGGGAAAUGGAUGGAGAUCUUAAAGUCAUUGGUAUAACAUUCCAACUCAGCUACAUAAUCCUCACCAACAAAUUGAAGCACUUAAUUCUUUUAAGCUAUAUAACACUACCUUUUCUAAAUCCAAUCAUCAGAUCCAUGUUCACUUUGCUGUUGUUUAAAAAAAUUACAACCACAUUUGUGAAUGUCACAUUUAUUGAACUACAUAAUAUUUAAUAUCACUUGUGUAGGUUUUAUAGUUUGUUUUAUUGUUUUAAAAGUCAUUUGGGGCUCUAAAAGAACUAGAUUUUUCCAAAGUUGUCCUUAUGAUUUUUUUCACACAGUCAGAACUAAUAAAACAAAACUGUUGUAGCUAUUUAAUUCAAAAUCUCUUGGAGUUUCAAUAUUUUUUCUCUGCUGGAUACUAAAACCAAUAAAGCUACAUGAGAUUUUAAUUAUAUACCGAAUUAAACAAGACUCCAAAAAUUUGGCACCAUUUAUUCUAGUCAUUGCUAUUGUGCAAGGAACCAAAUUUUGUAAGAAGAAAAGGUAGUUCUCACCUCUAAUUUAUCAAGUAGGAAUUUAGGUGUUUUGCAACUUAUUUUCAAUAAUUAAAUAUAUGUAGAGGUAAAAUGUCAAAUUAGCUAUAGCUUGAAAGCAUCAGUACAUUUUGUUAUAGCAACUUAAUUCUGUUUGAUAAUACAAGUUUUAUUACCUUCAACUGUUGGAAUGGCA